UGAUCCUGGCUCAGGAUGAACGCUGGCGGCAUGCCUAAUACAUGCAAGUCGAACGGAGUGAAGCCUUCGGGUUUCAUUCAGUGGCGAACGGGUGAGUAAUACGCAGGGAACCUGGCCAUGGCAGGGGGAUACACUCUGGAAACGGAGCAUAAGACCCCAUAGGCAGUAAGGCGGCAUCGCCUUACUGUUAAAGAAAGCUGAAAGGCUUUGGCGAUGGAUGGACCUGCGGUGCAAUAGCUUGUUGGUGAGGCAACGGCUUACCAAGGCGAUGAUGCAUAGCCGGCCUGAGAGGGCGGACGGCCACACUGGGACUGAGACACGGCCCAGACUCCUGCGGGAGGCAGCAGUAGGGAAUUUUCGUCAAUGGGCGCAAGCCUGAACGAGCAAUGCCGCGUGAGUGAGGAAGGUCUUCGGACUGUAAAGCUCUGUUGCCGGGGAAAAAGGGGAAAUGCAGGAAAUGGCAUUUCAUGGAUGGUACCCGGCCAGAAAGCCACGGCUAACUACGUGCCAGCAGCCGCGGUAAUACGUAGGUGGCGAGCGUUAUCCGGAAUGAUUGGGCGUAAAGGGUGCGCAGGCGGUCUGUUAAGUCUGAAGGCAAAGGGAUGAGCUCAACUCAUUUAUGAUUCAGAAACUGGCAGACUUGAGGACAGGAGAGGGCGGUGGAACUCCAUGUGUAGCGGUAAAAUGCGCAGAGAUAUGGAAGAACACCAGUGGCGAAGGCGGCCGCCUGGCCUGUGACUGACGCUGAGGCACGAAAGCGUGGGGAGCAAAUAGGAUUAGAUACCCUAGUAGUCCACGCCGUAAACGAUGAGGAGCAGGUGUUGGGAGUGAAAUCUCAGUGCCGAAGCCAACGCAGUGACUCCUCCGCCUGGGGAGUAUGCACGCAAGUGUGAAACUCAAAGGAAUUGACGGGGGCCCGCACAAGCGGUGGAGUAUGUGGUUUAAUUCGAAGCAACGCGAAGAACCUUACCAGGUUUUGACAUCGGAUGCGAAGGUGCAGAGAUGCGCUGGAGGCUAUCAUCCAGACAGGUGGUGCAUGGUUGUCGUCAGCUCGUGUCGUGAGAUGUUCAGUUAAGUCUGGCAACGAGCGCAACCCCCGUGGUAUGUUACUAACGCUUAGGGCGAGGACUCAUAUCAGACUGCCGGUGACAAACCGGAGGAAGGCGGGGAUGACGUCAAAUCAUCAUGCCCCUUAUGACCUGGGCUACACACGUACUACAAUGGCGUCUACAGAGGGAAGCGACCCUGAGAAGGGAAGCGAAACCGGAAAAGGGCGUCCCAGUUCGGAUUGAAGUCUGCAACCCGACUUCAUGAAGAUGGAAUCGCUAGUAAUCGCGGAUCAGCAUGCCGCGGUGAAUACGUUCCCGGGCCUUGUACACACCGCCCGUCAAACCAUGGAAGCCGGCAACGCCCGAAGCCGGUGGCAUAACCUUUUAGGAGUGAGCCGUCGAAGGCGGGGCCGAUGACUGGGGUUAAGUCGUA
Molecule: ribosomal RNA, 1482 nt
Filed under: uncultured bacterium
Lineage: Bacteria
Description: bacterial SSU rRNA
Rfam family: Bacterial small subunit ribosomal RNA
Source: RNAcentral